Long non-coding RNA from Hermetia illucens (black soldier fly), 457 nucleotides. RefSeq lists it as uncharacterized. Lineage: Eukaryota; Metazoa; Arthropoda; Insecta; Diptera; Stratiomyidae. The transcript is spliced from 3 exons. The record is from RefSeq and is a predicted model, not a curated record.
UUCCACUCUCUCAGAUAUUCCGAACGGCAUUUCAAUUUCGAAAUCGGAAAGUUGUUUCCCAGCAUCAGCAGCGGCAACUGCAUGGAGACGGUGUUGUUUGGGAAGAUAUGAAUUUUAUUAUGGAUUGAUAAGAAGCAACCGGAGCACCUAAUGCAGUCUGCAAUGAGCUCCUCCAGACAGGAAUGCGAAAUGCACCUUUCAGCAUUCGAAUAGCGUCGCCACGAUCUCAACCUGGGAUCAUAAAUGUUGUAUCUUUAUUAUCAUCCAUCAACAUUUGAAAAUUCAACUGAUGUAUCAAGAAACCAAGAGGUGCAGAUUAUUGCUCACCACUCUGUCCAUUAAAGUGAAGGAAUGGAUAUAAAGUGAUGUCAGAUUUCUGUCAGCUUAAUUUUCAUAUGAAAUUUUCCUUGCAUUCAAUUUAUUAUAAAAUCUUGUCGUUCCAGUAAAAACAACUUUU